This 426-nucleotide ribosomal RNA is filed under the name uncultured bacterium. Its description in RNAcentral is "bacterial SSU rRNA". It matches the Rfam family "Bacterial small subunit ribosomal RNA", at positions 354 to 796 of the family's 1533-position model. The record is from RNAcentral.
GUGAGGAAUUUUCCGCAAUGGGCGAAAGCCUGACGGAGCAAUGCCGCGUGAAGGAUGAAGGCCUAUGGGUUGUAAACUUCUUUUCUCAGAAAAGAAUUAUGACGGUAUCUGAGGAAUAAGCAUCGGCUAACUCUGUGCCAGCAGCCGCGGUAAGACAGAGGAUGCAAGCGUUAUCCGGAAUGAUUGGGCGUAAAGCGUCUGUAGGUUGUUUAAAAAGUAUUCUGUCAAAGAUUAGGGCUUAACCCUAGAUAGGCAGAAUAAACUUUUAAGCUAGAGUUUGGUAGAGGCAGAGGGAAUUCCCGGUGGAGCGGUGAAAUGCGUAGAUAUCGGGAGGAACACCAAAGGCGAAGGCACUCUGCUGGGCCAAUACUAACACUGAGAGACGAAAGCGAGGGGAGCAAAUGGGAUUAGAUACCCUAGUAGUCU